This 477-nucleotide ribosomal RNA is filed under the name uncultured soil bacterium. RNAcentral describes it as "bacterial SSU rRNA". It matches the Rfam family "Bacterial small subunit ribosomal RNA", at positions 26 to 518 of the family's 1533-position model. The record is from RNAcentral.
AGGACGAACGCUGGCGGUGCGCCUAACACAUGCAAGUCGAACGGUGAACCGGGCUUCGGCCCGGGGAUCAGUGGCGAACGGGUGCGUAACACGUGGGCAACCUGCCCCCGACCCUGGGAUAACCCCGGGAAACCGGAGCUAAUACCGGAUACUCUCCUCCGACCACAUGGUCAGAAGAGGAAAGGUCCGCCGGUCGGGGAUGGGCCCGCGGCCUAUCAGCUUGUUGGUGGGUAACGGCCUACCAAGGCGACGACGGGUAGCUGGUCUGAGAGGACGACCAGCCACACUGGGACUGAGACACGGCCCAGACUCCUACGGGAGGCAGCAGUGGGGAAUCUUGCGCAAUGGGCGAAAGCCUGACGCAGCGACACCGCGUGGGGAUGAAGGCCUUUCAGGUCGUAACCCUUUCGGCAGGACGAAGCGAUCUCGUGACGUACCUGCAGAAGAGCCUCGGCUAACUACGUGCCAGCAGCCGAC